GCCGAAGUGGCGGAACUGGCAGACGCGCAGGAUUCAAAAUCCUGUCCCCGCAAGGGGGUGUGGGUUCAUUUCCCACCUUCGGCA
RNAcentral lists this transfer RNA (84 nucleotides) under bacterium. RNAcentral describes it as "tRNA-Leu". It matches the Rfam family "tRNA". From Rfam's summary of the family: Transfer RNA (tRNA) molecules are approximately 80 nucleotides in length. Their secondary structure includes four short double-helical elements and three loops (D, anti-codon, and T loops). The record is from RNAcentral.